This 427-nucleotide ribosomal RNA is filed under the name uncultured prokaryote. Its description in RNAcentral is "bacterial SSU rRNA". It matches the Rfam family "Bacterial small subunit ribosomal RNA", at positions 355 to 774 of the family's 1533-position model. The record is from RNAcentral.
UGGGGAAUUUUGCGCAAUGGGCGAAAGCCUGACGCAGCAACGCCGCGUGGGUGAUGAAGGUCUUCGGAUCGUAAAACCCUGUCGUCGGGGACGAAGGUAGCUUGGUUAACAGCUGAGUUGCUUGACGGUACCCGGAGAGGAAGCCCCGGCUAACUCUGUGCCAGCAGCCGCGGUAAUACAGAGGGGGCAAGCGUUAUUCGGAAGUAUUGGGCGUAAAGGGCGCGUAGGCGGUUUUUUAAGUCAGAUGUGUAAUCCCCGAGCUCAACUUGGGAACUGCAUCUGAUACUGGAAGGCUAGAGUACUGGAGAGGGUAGUAGAAUUCCACGUGUAGCGGUGAAAUGCGUAGAGAUGUGGAGGAAUACCAGUGGCGAAGGCGGCCACCUGGACAGUAACUGACGCUGAGGCGCGAAAGUGUGGGUAGCAAACA